GCCUGGGUGGCUUAGUCAGUUAAGCGCCUGACUUCGGCUCAGGUCAUGAUCUUAUGGUUCAUGAGUUUGAGCCCCAUGUCGGGCU
This 85-nucleotide transfer RNA is filed under the name Felis catus (domestic cat). It matches the Rfam family "tRNA". Rfam says of the family: Transfer RNA (tRNA) molecules are approximately 80 nucleotides in length. Their secondary structure includes four short double-helical elements and three loops (D, anti-codon, and T loops). Further hydrogen bonds mediate the characteristic L-shaped molecular structure. tRNAs have two regions of fundamental functional importance: the anti-codon, which is responsible for specific mRNA codon recognition, and the 3' end, to which the tRNAs corresponding amino acid is attached (by aminoacyl-tRNA synthetases). tRNAs cope with the degeneracy of the genetic code in two manners: having more than one tRNA (with a specific anti-codon) for a particular amino acid; and 'wobble' base-pairing, i.e. permitting non-standard base-pairing at the 3rd anti-codon position. Lineage: Eukaryota; Metazoa; Chordata; Mammalia; Carnivora; Felidae. The record is from Rfam by way of RNAcentral.